GUGCUCUCGUAGGUGGCACGUAGGCUACAAUUGGAAUGAUACAGAGAAGGUUAGUGUGGCCGAUGCACAAGGAUGACAUGUAAUUCGCGAAGGAACUGGGCUAAAAGUU
Suricata suricatta (meerkat) is the source of this 109-nucleotide small nuclear RNA. The record is from Ensembl. NCBI's taxonomy places the organism in Eukaryota, Metazoa, Chordata, Mammalia, Carnivora, Herpestidae.